Molecule: RNA transcript, 3599 nt
Organism: Anas platyrhynchos (mallard)
Lineage: Eukaryota; Metazoa; Chordata; Aves; Anseriformes; Anatidae
Gene: CD47
Gene name: CD47 molecule
Source: RefSeq, a predicted model, not a curated record
GCCCCGCCCCCCCGGGGCGGCUGCGGCGGCCAGCGGCGGAGGAAGGCGCAGCCCCGGCUCCGCUCCGCUCCGCUCCGCUCCCCGCCGCCAUGAGCCUGCCGGCCGCCUGCCCGCCGCUGCUGCUGCUCCUCCUGCUGCUGCUCGGCGCCCUGCGCCACGGUUCUGCCCAGCUGGUGUUUAGUCCAGUAGAUUUUGUUGAAAGAGAUGCCUGUAAUACUACUGUCGUUUUACCUUGCCACGUGGUUAAUCUAAAGGAGCACAAUGACAGUAACAUGUUUGUUGCAUGGAAAAAACAAGGAAUAGUACUUUUUUCUUUUGAUGGAGCACAACAGCGUGUUUACAGGCAUGAGACGGUUCCAUCAGCUAACUUGCUGUCUCAGCAGGAUUUAUCUAAGGGCACUGCCUCUCUAAAACUCAAAAGUUCGGAAGCAGAAGAUGGAAAUUACAGUUGUGAAGUAACAGAAUUAAACAGAGAAGGAGAAACAAAAGUUGAUCUUAGAACCGUCACAGUUGACAAUUGUGGUGAGGAAAAAGCUCCAACACCAGACAAUAAAUGUGGGCGACAGUUUGACUUUAUGGAAAGUGUUGUCAUCUCAGUGUUGCUGUUCUUAAUUGUUGUUUUUUAUUGGGCUCAGAUAGGUGUUAUUGCAUUAAAAUGUGAAACUGUACAUAAGAAUAAGACGUACGUUGCUGUAGGAUGUGCCAUCUUCACAGUGCUUGCUGUUGUAGCUGUUGUUCUUUUUAUCCAAGGUGGCAAUAUUACUAUCAAUAAAGUUGGUCUUGGUUUUGUUGUACUGCCUGCUGUGAUACUGAUGGUGCUUCAAUACUAUAUAUUUAAAAUUGUUCUCGUUGAUGUAACACGCAAAGGAUAUAUUCUGAUAGGUCUUCAGUCUUUUGGUUUUGUAGUUGCUCUUGUUGGUUUUGCACUGUGCAUCUCAGCCUGUCCUUCAGAACUUCUCUCUGUUGUAAUUGCCGGCUUAGCUGUUAUGGCUUUUGAGGAUCUGCUUGCUCUGCUUUAUAUGUAUACUAGUUGUUCCAGAAUGAAAGAUCAUCAAACUCCAAGGAAAGCUGUAGAAGAACCACUAAAUGAUGCAAAAGGAGUGAUGUUAGAAUGAUGUGGUUUGAUGUCAGGAAGCAGAUGUUUGCCAGUCCAUUGCAUUCUUUUUUCAAACCUUUCAAGAAGUGAGGUGAGGAUGGAGUCAAUAGAGUUACCAUUCACUGCUGAAGACAAAAGUAGAAUUUUUCUUGGAAAACCAAUCUUUAAAUUAAAGACAGAGACUGAAUCUACUGCAGAGAUGAAUGAUGGGUGAAAAGUACAUUGUUUAUACGCCGUGGCCUUGAAGAUGCACUACUCAAAGAGAAGAAAUUCAGGAAACUAGUUGUUUUGCAUGUGUGGCAAAAGUGCUUUUGAUAUAAAUGAUGUAAUUUUAUAGUCACAGCAGCUGUAGCGAGGAACAUGUGUGUUUGCCCAUGUGUGAUCUUCAUUUCUUUUAUUAUGGUAUAUAUUGGUGUGGUUGAGGGUGAGACUAUAAAAAGCACUGUUUGCCCACUAAAGCAUCUCCCUGCAGUAUACUUAGUGGUAUUACUUUUAAAAAUUAUCACCAGUCACUGCUUUGAUAAUGGGCCUGCUCAGCCCGAAAAUUGCAAUACCAUUUAGACUAUUGUUUUCUUUACUCGUGUGCAUGGUCAAGGUAUGGUCAUGAUGUCCGUGAUACGAACAGGAAGCAGGGAUCAUACAAAUACUUCAUGUCCAACAUUCAGGAAAACUUUUAUUAAAAAAAAAAUGCUUAUACAUAAAGUUACAUAAAUAUAACCUUUACUCCCAGUUCUCCUGAAGUGAUUAACUGAGUUACCCUAAUUCCACAGAACCAUAAUAUUCCUAUAUAUGCACAGCAGUCACAUGCUGUGGCAACCACUAUUUUAGUCCAGUGAAAGCUCUCUGUGCCUCAUAGGUAUUCUUUGACAAGAUACUGCUCAGCUCUUGGAGCCAAAUUCAGCACUGGAAUUAUGGAACAUAGCACCUAGUUGUUUUCAUGCUGAAAGUGUUUUUUGUGUUUGUUCAUGUUGUGCAGCAUGUGGUACUGGAACCAAUAUCAGGUUCUCUUAACUGACCGCAUUUGUAAAGCUCUGAUGCUUCAGAAAAAUAGGACUUGUCCUAUUAGCAUAUUGUUAACAGUUUUAAAAUCAGUUUUCUUGAAUGGAAAUUGCAGUUAUUUCAUUUCUGACCCAAGUUUGUGACGCUGCCAUUACAUCACAAAUGCACAGAAUAGAAUAUAUGUAGGAGGAGCUGAUGCGAAGUGAGGAGGCUUCGUUGCUUUGUAUAUGGAAGUGGUACAGAUUAAAAAAAAAAACAAACAACAAACAUCAAUGUACAGUUAAUUUGACAGGACUUGCACAUUCCAUGAGACUUUACAGUGUUUUACAGCUGCAUUUGUUCCAAUAUAGCUGGAUUCUUUUGAAUUUCAUUUAUGCUUUGUGGAAAUCUUUACACUGGCUCCAAUUUGUAAUAAAUUAUAAUAAAAUCCACUUUUUUCUAAAAAGAUUCUGAGUAAUGCGAUAAGUCCCAGAUUUGGAAGUUAUAAACUAGGGUUCAUAUCUGUGUUGUGGGUGCGUGUUGCAGAGAUCCACAUGAGAUACUCCAAGUCUCAGUGCAGACACCUAGUAUCAAGAAGUCAACAAAAUAAAAUUGAAGUAUCUGAUUUUACAAUAUUCUUUACUGCAAGGGCUGCAGGACUCAGCCACUAGAGCAACCCUUGGUCCAGCUCUUGCUAAAAUCAGUGAAAUUGGCCACAGUGGAGGGGGUUAUUCAUGUGAUCAAGUGUUUAAGAAGCAAAUACGGUCUAUAUUUACUUGUGUAACUUAAAGUUUGUCAGUGGGAGUAUUCAUGUAAGAUUUGAGUUUCCAAAUAUGAAUCUUUUUGAUGCAGGCUUUUCCAUAAUCAUGGCAAUCCACCUAGAGGUGGGAGACAUUUCUCUGUUAUCUGUUACCAAUUCUGUGUAAGAGUUUACCUGAUCAGGUACCACACAGAGCUCCUCGUUUGUAUGUAGUGAUUCCCUGUGGCAAGUGGAAAGUUGAGCAGUUGCAGAAGAAAAAAACAAGCACUGGAAUUCUUUUUGAGGUAUCCUGCCUUAUUAAAACCAUAAUGUGUAAUAGCUUUAUGUUAACUACUGCAAAGCAGAUUGCAGUGGAACCUGUUGUGUGUCUCUGUGGUGAUGAGGCCAGCCUGUUACUAGGGCAUUGCUGAAAAAUGUGGAACUUGGUGACUGUGCAGCCUGCAGAAUCAAUCUCUCCAGAAAUGGGAGAAACCUAGCGUGCUGUUGCUAAGGGCUCUGCUCCGGGUUUCUUGUAGGUACAAAUUUAAACAUGAGAGUUUAAAAAGUCAUUGAUACACCCAGCCCUUUCCCACCAGUAAUUUAAAACCAAAGUUCGUAACUGUUUGAUGCCAUUCAUGUGUGUAUGUAUGCGUGUGUAUAUAUAUAUAUAUAAAUGCAUAGACAUUUUAAAUAUAGUCUUAAGAAAAUGUUUUUAUUUAUGAGACAUGAAAGAAUUUUGUAAAUAUUGUGUUAAUGUACUUUAAUUAAAGUCAUUUUAAGUUGUUU